This 492-nucleotide ribosomal RNA is filed under the name uncultured bacterium. Its description in RNAcentral is "partial 16S ribosomal RNA". It matches the Rfam family "Bacterial small subunit ribosomal RNA", at positions 29 to 507 of the family's 1533-position model. The record is from RNAcentral.
AGUGAACGCUGGCGGUAUGCCUAACACAUGCAAGUCGAACGGCAGCACAGUAAGCGUUCUCUCUUACGGGUGGCGACUGACGGGUGGGUAAGGCAUACAUCGGAAUCUACUAUUUCGGGGGUGAUAACGUAGGGCAACUUACACUAAUACCGCAUACAUCCAACGGGUGAAAGCAGUGGUGCUUGGGGGCUUUGCCGUUACUAUUAGCCGAUGCCGCAUUAGCUAGUUGGGUGGGUAAAGGCCCACCAAGGCGACGAUCCGUAGCUGGCCUGAGAGGAUGAUCAGCCACACUGGAACUGAGACACGGUCCAGACUCCUACGGGAGGCAGCAGUGGGGAAUAUUGGACAAUGGGCGCAAGCCUGAUCCAGCCACACCGCGUGAGUGAAGAAGGCCUUCGGGUUGUAAAGCCCUUUUGUUGGGAAAGAAAAGCAGCAGGUUAAUACACCGCUGUUCUGACGGUACCCAAAGAAUAAGCACCGGCUAACUUCGUG